Long non-coding RNA from Mustela erminea (ermine), 831 nucleotides. RefSeq lists it as uncharacterized. Lineage: Eukaryota; Metazoa; Chordata; Mammalia; Carnivora; Mustelidae. The record is from RefSeq and is a predicted model, not a curated record. The transcript is spliced from 3 exons.
UUCAUGCAGAAGUAGAAAUUUUGAAAGAAAGCAGGAAUCAGUAGGAGAUAAAAGCUAUCCUAUGAAGAAGAGACCUAUAUACCUUUGAUUUUAGUCCCCUUGAUGAUGCUGAUAUGAAAGGAAUGAGAAAAGAUAUGAUCCAAGAGCUAUGAACAUACUUUGGGAAGACUAUUAAAGGAAUGUAUCAUAAUGUGUCACUGUGUCACAAGAUCAUGGGCUUCCACAUGAGUUCUGUAUCCUUUAAAAUAGACAUCUUGGGGAUGCUCGACAUGAAGAAAAUAAAUUAAAUGUUUCAACGACUCUUUCCUUUGGAUUGCCUUGAGAGUGUCUGGCACUGUUUUAACAUUUUCAGUGGUGACAAGUUCUCUGUCUUUAGAGACUGGUUUUGAAAAAGUGAAGAAAAAAAAGAAAAAAAAAAAAAAAAGGAAAAAGCUGUCCAGAGUUAAGUCUAGAGAGUAAGGUAAUAAUUGCUUUACUUGAAUUUUAAUUGAGAUAUGAAUAUAAAAUAAAAACCACAAUUUUCCCUUCCUUCCCACUUCUUUUCCUUCCACAUGUCUAGAACCUGGCUGAGGAUGACUGAAAUGUCAGGCACUGGCUGGCCUUUUCUCCCCAAAGGACCUCUCCAAGUGUCUAGCACCUACUUCCUCACAGUCUCAGCAGCAGUGGGUGAUUUCCUCAGAGGGAGCACUCCAGGAAGCAAGAGGCAAAAGUUGUCAGUCUCAGAGGCCUGAGCCCAGGCACUGAGGCACCAUCUCUGCAGCCACAUUCUUUGUGUAAAAGCAGUUUCAAAGAGCCAGCCCACAUUCAAGGCAAGAGACACAAACCUCAGAA